AUGUCUUGUGCAUGUAUUGUUUCAAACUUUCUUAAAGCGUUGGGCCCCAUACCUAAACUUGUACCUGAAAAAGUACAUAAGAAGGUCUUUGAUGAUGUAGUUGUGUUGGAGACAAAACCUGAGAAACUACCUGAUAAAAUACCUGUAACAGUGCCUGACAGCGGGCCUCAGGGAAGGCCUGAGUUGACGGAAAAGACCUCUGAGAUGCUGUCAGAGAAUGCACCAGCUCCUGAGAGAACAGUGGAAGAAGUUGGGAUAAUGGUGCCUGAAAAAUUACCUGGGAAGUUUCCAGGAAAAACAAAAGAGGCAGCUCCUCAUUGGAAGCCUCGGGUGGCAGAUGAAGACAGGAUUCCUGAGAAGCCAUCUGACAAGUUUCCUGAAAAGGUGACAAAGAAGCAAACAGAGAGGAUUUCUGCAGAUAAAGACGUUCCUGAAAUGCAGAUGAAGAGUCCUGAUAAAACACCUGAGAACGUGCCUGAACCUAAACCUGAAAAAGAGAGAGAAGAAAUGCAGCCUAAAGAAGAAACAAAGAAGACUGAGAAGAUUCUACCCUCAGAGGUUCGACAACAGCAAACUGUCUCUGCUCCCAAAAAAGGUACUUCCCAUCUGAAAGCAUGGUGGAGUACUUACUGUACUGUUUAACUCCUACUGUAAUGUUAAAUUCUGUUUA
Molecule: long non-coding RNA, 670 nt
Filed under: Betta splendens (Siamese fighting fish)
Lineage: Eukaryota; Metazoa; Chordata; Actinopteri; Anabantiformes; Osphronemidae
Description: lncRNA (ENSBSLG00000006906.1)
Source: RNAcentral